Molecule: unclassified non-coding RNA, 117 nt
Organism: Papio anubis (olive baboon)
Lineage: Eukaryota; Metazoa; Chordata; Mammalia; Primates; Cercopithecidae
Rfam family: Metazoan signal recognition particle RNA
About the family: The signal recognition particle (SRP) is a universally conserved ribonucleoprotein. It is involved in the co-translational targeting of proteins to membranes.
Source: Ensembl
GCUGGGUGCGGUGGCUCACACCUGUAAUCCCAGCACUUUGGGAGGCUGAGGUGGGUGAAUCACUUGAGGUCAGGAGUUCAAGACCAGCCUGGCCAACAUGGUGAAACCCCAUCUCUA